AUGUCAAAGAAGAAAAUUCUAGCAGCACUACGAUGUCACCAAGUCCUGGUUUGGAGUCUCAGUCAAUUUUCAGUCAUUGUCGUGGUACAAAUACAAUAAACAAGAAAGAGAAGAAGCGGAGCCACACUGUGGCCACUAGAGGUAACUUCCUAUUUGCAGGUUAUGCUUGAGUGCAUGAUUGCGAGUAAUUUUGACGUCACAUAAUACUAACAUAUUGCUAAGCCAUUGUUAUAUAUUUCUUCUAAGAUCCUGAUUUUGGUCCAGUCAUGUCAGCAAGCACUGCAAGUGGUCUUGCAUUUAACAGCCACUCUCCUGUGAGAUAUUCUUUUGAAGAUCACAAUACAUAUACUCCUGUUGCUAAAGCAACUAAGAACAAGAGCAAGGAUUUGGUU
Corticium candelabrum is the source of this 392-nucleotide long non-coding RNA. RefSeq lists it as uncharacterized. The transcript is spliced from 4 exons. The record is from RefSeq and is a predicted model, not a curated record. Lineage: Eukaryota; Metazoa; Porifera; Homoscleromorpha; Homosclerophorida; Plakinidae.